UGUCGCAAUAUAUGGUUUUUGUUCGUCGAUAGAAAUUAAUAAGCUGUAAAAUCGCGGUUUGUACGUCUGCAAUGGUUCUGGAAGCGAUUGGUUGAACAAUUGAAAAUUUUGAUAAUUUGUCUACACAAGUCAAGUACGACGUCGGUUUUUUUUAACAAGUCCAGUCCAAUUAUUCCGUCAAACGUUGUUAAGUUCGUGUUGUACCCAUGGA
Drosophila subpulchrella is the source of this 211-nucleotide long non-coding RNA. RefSeq lists it as uncharacterized. The record is from RefSeq and is a predicted model, not a curated record. NCBI's taxonomy places the organism in Eukaryota, Metazoa, Arthropoda, Insecta, Diptera, Drosophilidae. The transcript is spliced from 3 exons.